CCCCCUCAGUCCAUCGUGGCGGCCUGGAAAAGCUCCACCAGGUCCUUGUAUUCGGGGUCGAUGAGGUCCGACGGCUUCUCCCCGUCGUCCGUGGUUGCCUCCAGGCUGGCUCCCAGCGACAAGAGUUCUCCCCUGCAUCUGAGGCUCUCUCGAGCCCCUGCACGUGGCCUGGCCCCUGUCUCCUCCAGGACACACGAAGACACCAGCCCUGCACUGCCCAACGGUCAGAAGUUCUUUCCAGAGUGAGGCAUGAGGCAAUCAGCAUAUGUGGGGGCUCGUCUCUGCUGGGAGGUGUGAUGGAUCCGGGCCCCGCUGGGCCUGCUGUGAGCAGCCUGCUGAGCCUGCAGGUGGCAACGGCCGUGUGCCACUCUGGACCCAGGACUGACGGUUCUCCGGGGGCACGGUGUUAUAUAGGCUCUGGGGGCUAUUUUGGGGACGUGGAGCUCAUGCUGCUUACUCCGAUACUUGGUAAUCGAGCUGCUCAGGCCGGAGCCUCCCACUUUUGGGCAGAGGUUGGUGUCUCGUCUUACCGCCCACCUGUUGAUGUGCCCAUCCAAGGGGUCAAAGCUGCUGCUCAGCAUGGACGGCCCUCCAGAGGAGCUCAGAACUUCCAGCAGCAAGUCCUCACAUACACACCAGCAUGCCAGGGAUAGGACACAAAUGCAAUCACCGGGCGAGGGGAGCCAGCUGCUUAUUUAUGAUGGUGCCAAGUACACUCAGACCUGAGUCACUUUCCUGUAGUUGCAUCAGCUGACCUGCAAGGGAGCAGCAUGAGCUGUGCUUCCCAGCACGAUCGCAGCGUGGAGCACAGCCAGGCCAGGAGAACACCAGCAGCACAUGGGUGCCAUGAGUGACCUUCCGAGGGCUGAAAUGCUGCUGGUGUUCCUGGUGAUGCAAACCAGCUGCAUGGUGACUGUGGUCCUGCUUCAAACCUGGAACCAGCUGCUGUAUGACAGUGUGUUAAUACUGAGCAGCUUCACAGCAACAGUACCACUGCCACACAGCUGCUAUGGUCAUUAAAGGCCUGAAACAGGCCAUUAACUAUGAGAUAAAUCAGCCAAGGGCUCAAACAACCGCUCCUCCAUCCUUGUUAUCAUCACGCUUGGUGAUUUCAAGCAUUUUGUGCUGCUUUUGAUGUGGCCUGCCCAGACAGUACAGCCAUGCAACACGUCAGGAAGAAUUCCUAUCCCACUUCAAGAGUCACAGAACAUUCAUUCUGCACUGUUGCAGCUUAACCUUCUACCAAGCUCCUGCCAGGUCAGCCUGUCUCACACCUGGGAAGUGCCUGCUGCAGCUGUCACCUUCUGGCCAAGACACUGAUCUCUGCUCAGCAGUGCUUUGCACCACACAACAGGAGGCCCAGCCAUCUGCUGCAGAGACAGAAGGCUCUCAGCCUGCAGCAGUGAGAUGUAUACACAAGAUGACUCCAACAAAGCCCUGCUCUGCCAAGAGCAGCCUGAGUGCAUGAGAAAGCCCCCCUCCCUUGAACAGAUCUGUAAGCAAUCCAGCCCCACUUCAGAGCUCAGCCUUGUUUACACUUUUACUGGCUCCCCAGAAUUGACCUUUCCGAUUCCUAGCCAGGAACGUUCCCACAGAACUUCUGAGGGUCUUCUUUUGCCCCUCUCCCAAACAUAAAACAGCUUUUUUUAUCCAGAGCCACUACUGACCUGUAGCAUUGCCUAUCAGCAGGCCCAGCACUGCUGCUCUGAAGGUUGGUGCAUAACAAGCCAGCACUGAGCAGUGGGUGGAGCCCAGCGCUCUCUCACUCCUGUGUACCAAAGUUAAGUUAAGCAACUGGCCCCAGCAACCUCCUGAGGUGCCCUCUAGGUUUGCUGUGACAUUUUUAGCAAAUUUCCCCACAAAAAUAUUUUCAGCAGUAAGUGACUGGUGUGGAAAUAGCAAUGUGGCUCACUAGAUCAUGUGAGCCUGACUAGCAGAGCUUCGGGCAGCCCCAGGUUUCCCUGUGGGCAAAUUCCUUGGUUAAAUGCUCAAGAGCAAAGAGGUCCCAUCAUCUCAAGCCAGCUGGCAGCCAGAGCAGCUUACUCUCAGAGCUCCAGCCAAUGCAUGCUGACUGCUAAUAGGGCAUCUGCCUGCAUAAACUCAUUUACUGAGCACAAUAUGUUUAUCUCUGUUUGCAAGUAUAGAUUAGUUAAUAGAAAUUGCUUCAGGCUGUUCAAGGCACGUAGUGCCACCUGCAGAAUUGGAUGGAGCCGGGCAGUGUAACCUUCCACUUAUGGGUUUUUUUUUCCCCAAUACCAUUUAGGUAGAAUCACUCAAGAACCACUCUAAAAGUUUAAUCCUGUCAGAUCAAAUCCAAAUAUUCAGUAUGGGUUCCAGAAAAUAUUUAGAGACAUAAUAGUAUUAAAAUCUCGACUUUAUUUGGCCAACAAAUUCAGUUCCAAUGUUAUUAUAAGCGGAAUGCUAAGAACGAGGCCUGAUGCAGGUCAGGCCUUUGAGGCACUCCCUUGUUCAAGUUCCUCCCCCAAACCCAGUAAUUGCAAAUUCCACGUUUCAUGUAUUUUUUAAUCAGGCCCUCCCAUACCACCCACCUUUCUGGUCAACCCAUUCAAAAUAAUGCAUGGAAAGUGACUGCAAAAUGGUCUUGCAUUUGAUCAAAAGGAUGGCACAGCACAUCUAAGCUGGUGAGCCAGCAAUCACUUCCACCCUCAGAGCCUGCCACAGCCAGUGCACAGUAUUCCACCCUUCCACAUUUUGAAGUCAUCUUUAAGUGUCUUAAAGCAGAAGGGAAAGGAAAUGAAAUGUCUAGCGAGCACGAAGAGAAGCACCUUCACAUCCACCUUCCACCAGGACUGAUGCAGUCAGCCUAUAUUGCCUCUUCCCCUACAUACUUUGAUUCCAGGGAAGAAAAGCUGAGACAAAUAAGAACUCGACAGGUGGAGAAAUCUACAGACUUUUCAAAGAAAAAAAUAAAAAAGGCUUUCUUGGAAGGUAUUAGUGGCAAUGCUCCAGAAUGUUGGGCAAUUAAUUACAUGCUACCACUUCACAACUUUCUUCUACCCAAGAGAACAGAAUACUUGAAACAAAAACUGUGUACAAAAAAGUACAUCACAAUAAAAAAAAAAAAAAAAUAAUGAACCCAGGUGGCUGGGCUGGCUACCCUAGUGAUAGAUCCCUUCUCAAAAGUGAAAAGACAGAAAGAGAUAGUGAAGUGUAAAGACAAGUGAGGGUGAAGCGUUAUUUUAAGAGCCAAUCCCUGGACUUCCAGUCAUUCACCUUCUGCUUUAAAUCUUAAUGGGUUUCUGACUCAUUGGGCUGCGUAACAGCAACCAGUUUAGUGUCUGAUUUUUGGGUGAUGCAGAUCAGUCAUCUCUUUACAAUUCAUCCUUUUGGAUUUUUUGCUCAUCAUCAUCACCUUCUUCAAGAUCUGUUUCUUCAUCUGUCUCCAGAUCUUCCAGAUCCUGUAUAGCAUACAGAAGAUAACUUUGUUUCUGGCCUAUCAGGCACAUUCAAAACCAAAUACUGUGAAGUUAGAGAACCUGUUCUGUUGCUGCCAUCUUAACAACGUAUCCCAAACUUUGGAACUCUUCACAG
Molecule: long non-coding RNA, 3552 nt
Organism: Centrocercus urophasianus (Greater sage-grouse)
Lineage: Eukaryota; Metazoa; Chordata; Aves; Galliformes; Phasianidae
Exons: 3
Source: RefSeq, a predicted model, not a curated record